RNAcentral lists this ribosomal RNA (467 nucleotides) under uncultured bacterium. Its description in RNAcentral is "partial 16S ribosomal RNA". It matches the Rfam family "Bacterial small subunit ribosomal RNA", at positions 28 to 507 of the family's 1533-position model. The record is from RNAcentral.
GACGAACGCUGGCGGCGUGCUUAACACAUGCAAGUCGAACGGAAAGGCCUCUUUCGGGGGGUACUCGAGUGGCGAACGGGUGAGUAACACGUGAGUAACCUGCCCUUGACUUUGGGAUAACUUCAGGAAACUGGGGCUAAUACCGGAUAGGAGCUCCUGCUGCCUGGUGGGGGUUGGAAAGUUUCGGCGGUUGGGGAUGGACUCGCGGCUUAUCAGCUUGUUGGUGGGGUAGUGGAUUACCAAGGCUUUGUCGGGUAGCCGGCCUGAGAGGGUGACCGGCGACAUAGGGACUGAGAUACGGCCCAGGCUCCUACGGGGGAAGGUAGUGGCGAAUAUUGCACAAUGGGUGAAAGCCGGAUGGAGCAACGCCGUGUGCGGGAUGACGGCCUUCGGGUUGUAAUCCGGUUUCGCUCAUGACGAAGCUUUGUGUGACGGUAGUGGGUAAAGAAGCACCGGCUAACUACGUG